UACGUAGGUGGCAAGCGUUGUCCGGAAUUACUGGGCGUAAAGGGCGUGUAGGCGGCUUUUUAAGUCAGACGUGAAAUCUCUGGGCUUAACCCAGAAAUUGCGUUUGAAACUGGAAGGCUUGAGGAUCGGAGAGGGUAGUGGAAUUCCCAGUGUAGCGGUGAAAUGCGUAGAUAUUGGGAGGAACACCAGUGGCGAAGGCGACUGCCUGGACGACACCUGACGCUGAGGCGCGAAAGCCAGGGGAGCAAACGGG
Molecule: ribosomal RNA, 253 nt
Filed under: uncultured bacterium
Lineage: Bacteria
Description: partial 16S ribosomal RNA
Rfam family: Bacterial small subunit ribosomal RNA
Source: RNAcentral